UAGGGAAUCUUCGGCAAUGGGGGGAACCCUGACCGAGCAACGCCGCGUGAGUGAAGAAGGUUUUCGGAUCGUAAAGCUCUGUUGUUAAGGAAGAACGAGUGUGAGAAUGGAAAGUUCAUGCUGUGACGGUACUUAACCAGAAAGGGACGGCUAACUACGUGCCAGCAGCCGCGGUAAUAUGUAGGUCCCGAGCGUUGUCCGGAUUUAUUGGGCGUAAAGCGAGCGCAGGCGGUUAGAGAAGUCUGAAGUGAAAGGCAGUGGCUCAACCAUUGGAAGCUUUGGGAACUGUUUAACAUAAGUGCGGGAGGGGAGGGUGGAAUUCCGUGUGUAGCGGUGAGAUGCGUAGAUAUAUAGAGGAACACCAAUGGCGAAAGCGGCUCUCUGGUCUGUAACUGACGCUGAGGCUCGAAAGCGUAGGGAGCGAACAGG
Molecule: ribosomal RNA, 429 nt
Filed under: Verrucomicrobiota bacterium
Lineage: Bacteria; Pseudomonadati; Verrucomicrobiota
Description: Verrucomicrobia bacterium partial 16S ribosomal RNA
Rfam family: Bacterial small subunit ribosomal RNA
Source: RNAcentral